RNAcentral lists this unclassified non-coding RNA (239 nucleotides) under uncultured fungus. Its description in RNAcentral is "sequence contains ITS1, 5.8S rRNA gene". The stretch from base 191 to 239 matches the Rfam family "5.8S ribosomal RNA", at positions 1 to 49 of the family's 154-position model. The record is from RNAcentral. Lineage: Eukaryota; Fungi.
UUUCCGUAGGUGAACCUGCGGAAGGAUCAUUAACAAUGUUGGCUGCUUGCAGCUUUCCAUACCUGUGCAUUUACUUUAUCUGGUGGGUGUUAUUGAUGUAGGGCAUUUGAUCUUCGGAUCAUCUGUUCAACAUCUUUAUGCAUCGCCCACCGUUUUUCUUCAAUACUGUCUGAAUGAGUUUUAACAUAAAAACUCCCAACAACGGAUCUCUUGGCUCUGGCAUCGAUGAAGAACGCAGC